Molecule: ribosomal RNA, 253 nt
Filed under: uncultured bacterium
Lineage: Bacteria
Description: partial 16S ribosomal RNA
Rfam family: Bacterial small subunit ribosomal RNA
Source: RNAcentral
UACGUAGGUGGCAAGCGUUGUCCGGAUUUACUGGGCGUAAAGAGCGCGCAGGCGGUCGAUUUAGUCGCGUGUGAAAGCCCCCGGCUCAACUGGGGAGGGUCACGCGAUACUGAUCGACUCGAAGGCAGGAGAGGGUAGUGGAAUUCCCGGUGUAGUGGUGAAACGCGUAGAUAUCGGGAGGAACACCAGUGGCGAAGGCGACUACCUGGCCUGUUCUUGACGCUGAGGCGCGAAAGCUAGGGGAGCAAACGGG